GACGAACGCUGGCGGCGUGCUUAACACAUGCAAGUCGAACGGAAAGGCCCUGCUUUUGUGGGGUGCUCGAGUGGCGAACGGGUGAGUAACACGUGAGUAACCUGCCCUUGACUUUGGGAUAACUUCAGGAAACUGGGGCUAAUACCGGAUAGGAGCUCCUGCUGCAUGGUGGGGGUUGGAACGUUUCGGCGGUUGGGGAUGGACUCGCGGCUUAUCAGCUUGUUGGUGGGGUAGUGGCUUACCAAGGCUUUGACGGGUAGCCGGCCUGAGAGGGUGACCGGCCACAUGGCGACUGAGAGACGGCCCAGACUCCUACGGGAGGCAGCAGUGGGGAAUAUUGCACAAUGGGCGGAAGCCGGAUGCAGCAACGCCGCGUGCGGGAUGACGGCCUUCGGGUUGUAAACCGCUUUCGCCUGUGACGAAGCGGGAGUGACGGUAAUGGGUAAAGAAGCACCGGCUAACUACGUG
This 468-nucleotide ribosomal RNA is filed under the name uncultured bacterium. Its description in RNAcentral is "partial 16S ribosomal RNA". It matches the Rfam family "Bacterial small subunit ribosomal RNA", at positions 28 to 507 of the family's 1533-position model. The record is from RNAcentral.